UAGGCGCUGUGUGGGGAGGCGGUGGCGGCGUGAGCGGAGUGAAGUUCGUCAUCCUCAAAACAGAUCUCUUUCCCCGUGCUGACCUUGAACUGGCUUUGGGUGCUAGUUGGCUGACGUCAUAAGCUGACUUGAUUUGGUUAGUCUGUUAUUCGCCAUGUGGUCAGAAAGGACGUGUCCAUUGGUUACUUUUGGAAAGUUACCAGAAACAACAAGGUUGUUGAAGUAACAAGGAAAAUUGCACCUAUACACAAUUAAGGAAAGUUUCAGUUUGUAUUUUUUCUGUUGUUGAAUGAAGGUAUGUUGCUGUUGUUGAAUGAAGGCUGCGGACUCUAAAGGAAAAGAAGUAGAACUGGAUCCCCUGGAAAGAGAGGCAAAACCAGAAACCCCACAAGAGGGACAUGCUGGAUUUCAUCUGCAAGCUGAAACCAAACAACUAGAGAAGAAGCAAUGCAUGAGGCUGGGUCCUGGGCUAGUUUAA
RNAcentral lists this long non-coding RNA (478 nucleotides) under Struthio camelus australis. Its description in RNAcentral is "lncRNA (ENSSCUG00000017587.1)". The record is from RNAcentral. Lineage: Eukaryota; Metazoa; Chordata; Aves; Struthioniformes; Struthionidae.